AGAACCUGAAACCGUGUACGUACAAGCAGUGGGAGCACCUUCGUGGUGUGACUGCGUACCUUUUGUAUAAUGGGUCAGCGACUUAUAUUUUGUAGCAAGGUUAACCGUAUAGGGGAGCCGUAGGGAAACCGAGUCUUAACUGGGCGAAUAGUUGCAAGGUAUAGACCCGAAACCCGGUGAUCUAGCCAUGGGCAGGUUGAAGGUUGGGUAACACUAACUGGAGGACCGAACCGACUAAUGUUGAAAAAUUAGCGGAUGACUUGUGGCUGGGGGUGAAAGGCCAAUCAAACCGGGAGAUAGCUGGUUCUCCCCGAAAGCUAUUUAGGUAGCGCCUCGUGAACUCAUCUUCGGGGGUAGAGCACUGUUUCGGCUAGGGGGCCAUCCCGGCUUACCAAACCGAUGCAAACUCCGAAUACCGAAGAAUGUUAUCACGGGAGACACACGGCGGGUGCUAACGUCCGUCGUGAAGAGGGAAACAACCCAGACCGCCAGCUAAGGUCCCAAAGUCAUGGUUAAGUGGGAAACGAUGUGGGAAGGCAUAGACAGCCAGGAUGUUGGCUUAGAAGCAGCCAUCAUUUAAAGAAAGCGUAAUAGCUCACUGGUCGAGUCGGCCUGCGCGGAAGAUGUAACGGGGCUAAACCAUGC
RNAcentral lists this ribosomal RNA (645 nucleotides) under Serratia marcescens. RNAcentral describes it as "partial 23S ribosomal RNA". It matches the Rfam family "Bacterial large subunit ribosomal RNA", at positions 545 to 1192 of the family's 2925-position model. The record is from RNAcentral. Lineage: Bacteria; Pseudomonadati; Pseudomonadota; Gammaproteobacteria; Enterobacterales; Yersiniaceae.